UUGCUGUUGUUGUUUUUGGUUUUAUGAGACAGGGUUUCACUAUGUAGGCCAAGCUAGCCUUGAACUCACAGUCCUCCUGCCUCAGCCUCCUAAGAUUAUAGGCACGUGUUACCUCACCUCAUCCUGGCAUUAGUUUGUUUUUGUUUUUGUUUUUUGAGGUAGAAUUCCACUAUGUAGUUCAUGUUGGCCUUGAUCUCACUAGAAGCCCAGGCUGGGUUUGAGCUCAUGGCAAUCCUCCUGCCUCAGUCUCCUGAGGGCUGGGAUUAUAGGUGUGUGCCACCAUGCUUGGUCUAGCCUGUUUUUUGACUGUUUUAUCCACAGACCCUAAAACAAAGUGACUGUCACACUGUCACAAAGUAGGAACUCAAAUGUGUGAAUGAGUGAGUGAACAUGUAAGCUACCCUAAUGGUUACUCACUAAACAUACUAGACUUAUGAGGGAAGUAUCAGCCCAUGGACAAAUGCAGUGGUGAUGAAUUUCAUUUGUGGACAUGCAGCCGACAUGCAGGGGCUGCAUGACCAACCAUGACAGGCAUCCGGGCACAGCGCACACGUAGAUACACUGAGUGACAGAGCGCACACAACCUGAGAUGCUAACAUGGAGGCUCAGGCUUCGAACCUGAAGAACCCACUUCACAUCCCAGGGCAGUGGGCGUGGUGGCAUAUGUCUGUCAUCUCAGUACUGGGGAGGCUGAGGCAGGAGGAUCCUGGGGAGGUGUGUGGGGAAUCUGUUCAGUCCACCCUGGACUUCCUAGGAGAGUUCUGACCUCCAGGACUCUGUGUCACCAUUGGGUCCUAAGUCCCAGUUGGGCGAGGGGAAUAGAGGAGUCACACUCGAGGACGAAGUCUGUGUUUUGGAGAUGGAGCCCAUUUCUCGCUAUUUAAGAACCUGUGCUAGGUUCACGAAUUACACUUUUGGUUUUCGAAUCAGGCAGAAUUGCUUUGAAGGACAUAGAAGGCAAGAACUCAUGGAAACGGAAAGGAGAGAAAUGCUGGCAGAGGAGCUGCUCCAGUGACCUCGGGGGCUGGAGGACUUGGGGACCCCCCCAGCAGCAGGUUGGAGCAGGUAGAAAGAGGUGCUGAAGCAUUUCCCAAGGUGGAGGGCCUUCGGAAGUGUC
Molecule: long non-coding RNA, 1117 nt
Filed under: Heterocephalus glaber (naked mole-rat)
Lineage: Eukaryota; Metazoa; Chordata; Mammalia; Rodentia; Bathyergidae
Description: lncRNA (ENSHGLG00000031973.1)
Source: RNAcentral